GACGAACGCUGGCGGCGUGCCCAAUACAUGCAAGUCGAGCGAAGUUUUUCUGGUGCUUGCACUAGAAAAACUUAGCGGCGAACGGGUGAGUAACACGUAAAGAACCUGCCUCAUAGACUGGGACAACUAUUGGAAACGAUAGCUAAUACCGGAUAACAGUAUUUCUCGCAUGGGAGAUAUUUAAAAGUUGGUUAUGCUAACACUAUGAGAUGGCUUUGCGGUGCAUUAGCUAGUUGGUGGGGUAAAGGCCUACCAAGGCGACGAUGCAUAGCCGACCUGAGAGGGUGAUCGGCCACACUGGGACUGAGACACGGCCCAGACUCCUACGGGAGGCAGCAGUAGGGAAUCUUCCGCAAUGGGCGAAAGCCUGACGGAGCAACGCCGCGUGAGUGAAGAAGGAUUUCGGUUCGUAAAGCUCUGUUGUUAGGGAAGAAUGGAUAUGUAGUAACUA
RNAcentral lists this ribosomal RNA (451 nucleotides) under Gemella morbillorum. RNAcentral's name for it is "bacterial SSU rRNA". It matches the Rfam family "Bacterial small subunit ribosomal RNA", at positions 28 to 466 of the family's 1533-position model. Lineage: Bacteria; Bacillati; Bacillota; Bacilli; Caryophanales; Gemellaceae. The record is from RNAcentral.